Molecule: ribosomal RNA, 497 nt
Filed under: uncultured bacterium
Lineage: Bacteria
Description: partial 16S ribosomal RNA
Rfam family: Bacterial small subunit ribosomal RNA
Source: RNAcentral
GAUGAACGCUGGCGGCGUGCCUAAUACAUGCAAGUCGAGCGAACAGACGAGGAGCUUGCUCCUCUGACGUUAGCGGCGGACGGGUGAGUAACACGUGGAUAACCUACCUAUAAGACUGGGAUAACUUCGGGAAACCGGAGCUAAUACCGGAUAAUAUAUUGAACCGCAGGGUUCAAUAGUGAAAGACGGUUUUGCUGUCACUUAUAGAUGGAUCCGCGCCGCAUUAGCUAGUUGGUAAGGUAACGGCUUACCAAGGCAACGAUGCGUAGCCGACCUGAGAGGGUGAUCGGCCACCCUGGAACUGAGCCACGGUCCAGACUCCUACGGGAGGCAGCAGUAGGGAAUCUUCCGCAAUGGGCGAAAGCCUGACGGAGCAACGCCGCGUGAGUGAUGAAGGUCUUCGGAUCGUAAAACUCUGUUAUUAGGGAAGAACAAAUGUGUAAGUAACUAUGCACGUCUUGACGGUACCUAAUCAGAAAGCCCCGGCUAACUACGUG